Molecule: long non-coding RNA, 1168 nt
Organism: Rhododendron vialii
Lineage: Eukaryota; Viridiplantae; Streptophyta; Magnoliopsida; Ericales; Ericaceae
Exons: 3
Source: RefSeq, a predicted model, not a curated record
UCUCUCACUCUCUACCUCCUUCCCCACGCAUACACAAAUGACAAACCCAAACAUGUAUACAUUUUUUCAUAUAUUCUUGGGUUGGUGACCAACUUAUGACAGACAGAGCAUGCAAAGUUCGAGAGAUGAGGUUUGGACCUUUGCUUUGUCAUGAGGGGCAAAGCCGAGCACCCAAAAUGAUGGUGAUUGCUGACCAAUUCGCAGCCAAAAAAGAAACAAGCAUAUCAGCUACACUAUAUUUCAAGAAUUGACAGCAUAUUAUCCUAAAUUUUGGAACUUCGAUUCUUUGCUAUCCGAAAUUGGGAUUGCACUGUGAAGUCCGCGAAAUGCAGGACCAUAACGUACGGGUCGUCUGGAUGAUUUGAGCGGUAUGAUAGGUAUUGCUAUCCAAGUAGAUCAUCCAAAUAAAAAAUUGAUUGAUUAGAUCAUCUUUUUUCCCAAAUGAAAAGAUAUUAGUGAGGGAUCAAAUGGGGUAUGCAGAUUGGCUAAUUUUUAUUUAUAUGACAAAUGUGAUUUCGAUCAGUUGACUAUUACUACUCGGCCAAUUUGUUUUCUAGGCGGGCCUGAGAUGACGGCUCAGACCAUUGAGGUCGGCUACAUUCCACAGACUCCAUGAUAGGAGCAAGAUUUGUGACAGGUGUCCGAGCCAGCUUGCGCGCACCUAACCAUCUUUGCUUUAGAGCAUUCGCAAUACCUUCAGGUCGACUCAAAGCUCAGCUCAACCCAACUUCUUCACCAAACCAAAAGUUACAAGAAAAAGCAAACUAAAAAUACUUUCGCUCCGGGAUGGGAGUGGAGAGAUUGCUGGUGGAGAGUAGCAACACCUCGAUAAACGAAAUUGCGCGAACAGCAUGGCCGAACACACGACCGACUUCACUUUGACGCCAAACUUCUUUAGCUUCUGACACCUAUUGGAUUCUCGCGAGUAGUCGUAAUUGUCCGAGGAUGCCAACUUGUAUGUGCUGAGGAAAAUCUGCCUUUUCUUCGCCCUUUCCCUUCUGAAGCUUAAAGAAACUGUCAUGUUAGGGCGUUGGUCAUCACUCUUUUGCUUCGGGAUUGCGCGGGUCCGCCGGCUGAAACGCAGUGUGGUGUUCCUUACUAGGGAGUCCAUGGCUGUGUGCUUGAGAGAGAGAGAGAGAGAGAGAGAGAGAGAGGGGCUAGCUGAACC